UCUACUGUUGGUACACUAGACUAUAUUGCUCCAGAGGUUCUACUUAAGAAGGGUUAUGGAAUGGAGUGUGAUUGUGGGAUCAAAUUAUACAAUGCAUCAAGGGGUAUUUCAAAAGGACCUGAUUUUAAACAAUUGACGGGUAAUCUAAAAUAAAAAGGUGGUAUUGAAUGUGGAUAUUGUGAAAUGUGGUAUAUGAAAGAGAUAGUUUUGGAUGAAUAUCCUCAAUUGGAGAUGAAG
Molecule: long non-coding RNA, 237 nt
Organism: Zingiber officinale
Lineage: Eukaryota; Viridiplantae; Streptophyta; Magnoliopsida; Zingiberales; Zingiberaceae
Exons: 3
Source: RefSeq, a predicted model, not a curated record